The sequence is a regulatory RNA element, 86 nucleotides long. It matches the Rfam family "Glycine riboswitch aptamer". Rfam says of the family: This family represents the bacterial glycine riboswitch. Glycine riboswitches usually consist of two metabolite-binding aptamers domains with similar structures in tandem. The record is from Rfam.
ACACGCCAUCCGGGAGAGAACGGAUGUCCGUCGCCGAAGGAGCAACCGCCCCGGUCACUCUCAGGCAAAAGGACCGGUUGGGGUGC